UACGGAGGGUGCAAGCGUUAUUCGGAUUUACUGGGCGUAAAGCGUGUCUAGGCGGAUUUGUAAGUCAGGUGUGAAAUCCCCCGGCCUAACCGGGGAGGGUCGCUUGAUACUGCAAGUCUUGAGUCUCGGGGAGGUGGACGGAAUUCCCAGUGUAGAGGUGAAAUUCGUAGAGAUUGGGAAGAACACCGGAGGCGAAAGCGGUUCACUAACCGACGACUGACGCUGAAGCACGAAAGCGUGGGUAGCAAACAGG
This 253-nucleotide ribosomal RNA is filed under the name uncultured bacterium. RNAcentral's name for it is "partial 16S ribosomal RNA". It matches the Rfam family "Bacterial small subunit ribosomal RNA", at positions 524 to 776 of the family's 1533-position model. The record is from RNAcentral.